RNAcentral lists this ribosomal RNA (270 nucleotides) under uncultured archaeon. RNAcentral describes it as "partial 16S ribosomal RNA". It matches the Rfam family "Archaeal small subunit ribosomal RNA", at positions 477 to 747 of the family's 1478-position model. The record is from RNAcentral.
CAGCACCUCAAGUGGUCAGGAUGAUUAUUGGGCCUAAAGCAUCCGUAGCCGGCUCUGUAAGUUUUCGGUUAAAUCUGUAUGCUCAACAUACAGGCUGCCGGGAAUACUGCAGAGCUAGGGAGUGGGAGAGGUAGACGGUAUUCGGUAGGAAGGGGUAAAAUCCUUUGAUCUAUUGAUGACCACCUGUGGCGAAGGCGGUCUACCAGAACACGUCCGACGGUGAGGGAUGAAAGCUGGGGGAGCAAACCGGAUUAGAUACCCGAGUAGUCC